CGCAAGGAUGCUGGCGUAAUGGUCAUCAGUGACCCGUCUUGAAACACGGACCAAGGAGUCGUCUUCGUAUGCGAGUGUUCGGGUGUCAAACCCCUACGCGAAAUGAAAGUGAACGCAGGUGAGAGCUUCGGCGCAUCAUCGACCGAUCCUGAUGUUAUCGGAUGGAUUUGAGUAAGAGCAUACGGGGCCGGACCCGAAAGAAGGUGAACUAUGCCUGUGUAGGGUGAAGCCAGAGGAAACUCUGGUGGAGGCUCGCAGCGGUUCUGACGUGCAAAUCGAUCGUCAAACAUGGGCAUGGGGGCGAAAGACUAAUCGAACCUUCUAGUAGCUGGUUUCCGCCGAAGUUUCCCUCAGGAUAGCAGUGUUGAACUCAGUUUUAUGAGGUAAAGCGAAUGAUUAGGGACUCGGGGGCGCUAUUUAGCCUUCAUCCAUUCUCAAACUUUAAAUAUGUAAGAAGCCCUUGUUGCUUAAUUGAACGUGGGCAUUCGAAUGAAUCAACACUAGUGGGCCAUUUUUGGUAAGCAGAACUGGCGAUGCGGGAUGAACCGAACGCGAGGUUAAGGUGCCAGAGUAGACGCUCAUCAGACACCACAAAAGGUGUUAGUACAUCUUGACAGCAGGACGGUGGCCAUGGAAGUCGGAAUCCGCUAAGGACUGUGUAACAACUCACCUGCCGAAUGUACUAGCCCUGAAAAUGGAUGGCGCUCAAGCGUCUCACCCAUACCUCGCCCUCAGGGUAGAAACGAUGCCCUGAGGAGUAGGCGGACGUGGAGGUCAGUGACGAAGCCUAGGGCGG
RNAcentral lists this ribosomal RNA (796 nucleotides) under Fusarium solani. RNAcentral describes it as "LSU rRNA". It matches the Rfam family "Eukaryotic large subunit ribosomal RNA", at positions 616 to 1418 of the family's 3401-position model. The record is from RNAcentral. Lineage: Eukaryota; Fungi; Ascomycota; Sordariomycetes; Hypocreales; Nectriaceae.